Molecule: long non-coding RNA, 377 nt
Organism: Trichoplusia ni (cabbage looper)
Lineage: Eukaryota; Metazoa; Arthropoda; Insecta; Lepidoptera; Noctuidae
Exons: 4
Source: RefSeq, a predicted model, not a curated record
CCUAUAAGGUGGUAGGCGUUAGAAAAUGGACGUCACAUUUUAUUUAUGCUUUUUCUAUCAUUGACCGGUCGUCCGGCGCCUGCGCCUGCACACACGAGAACAACGUUGUGGAUUACAGUUGGCAGAUCAGAAGUGAAACGUAAAAGUUCGAAGUAGCAAAUAGUUGGGGACCAAUGAGGAAAAGUAUAUGGCGGGAUAGACAAAUCCUGAUGGAAUGAAACCCUCCUGCCCGUCGCUGCGGACUAUCCAGUACCAGUCAGGAUCCUCUCUGUUCAGCACUGAGGACAAACGAGGUGUACAGCACCACAUAUCUCCCGGAGGGGUCCUUGCUGAAGGGACACGCCUCACCCUCGCUGCCGAGCUCCGAGUGACCGUCG